AUUUAAAUAAUUUAAAUAAAAUAUUGAUUUGUGGAAUCAAAAAUAUGACGGAGUCAUUUUAAAUU
This 65-nucleotide transfer RNA is filed under the name Parantica sita. Its description in RNAcentral is "tRNA-His". The record is from RNAcentral. Lineage: Eukaryota; Metazoa; Arthropoda; Insecta; Lepidoptera; Nymphalidae.